AUGGACAGGCCUGCUUCAGAUCUUGCAGCUAGAUGUGAGCACCAAUGUGUCUGUGAGAAGUUUGUGUCGUUUGAAUCAGUUGACAGUGGAAGGAGGUAUCUUGCUUGUCCACAAAAGGAAAUACCAAAAUGCAACUAUGUGGAGUGGAUUGACCCUGAAUGGCCUGCCACUCUGAAGAUGAGUUUAGCCAGGGUUUGGGGCAUGUAUGAUGAUGAGAACAAGCUAAGGCUCAGGGAAAGUGUAGUUCUUGCUGAAGAAAAUUUUAGGGUUGUGAAAGAGAAAGAAAAGAUGGAAAAUGAUCUGAGGUUUUUUAAACUAGAUUUUGCUAAGAUGGUGGGUGACAAGGAGCAGGCAAUUACUGAAAUUGGGCAAUGCAAGACUUGCUCUUUCUGA
This 393-nucleotide ribosomal RNA is filed under the name Triticum aestivum (bread wheat). Its description in RNAcentral is "partial small subunit ribosomal RNA". Lineage: Eukaryota; Viridiplantae; Streptophyta; Magnoliopsida; Poales; Poaceae. The record is from RNAcentral.